GACGAACGCUGGCGGCGUGGAUUAGGCAUGCAAGUCGAACGGUAUCAUCCUUUCGGGGGUGAGAGAGUGGCGAACUGGUGAGUAACACGUAGGUUAUCUACCCUCAAGACGGGGACAACCCAGGGAAACUUGGGCUAAUACCGGAUGUGAGCAACUUUUAGUUGUUUGAAAGGUGGCGUAAGCUGUCGCUUGGGGAUGAGCCUGCGUCCUAUUAGUUAGUUGGUGAGGUAACGGCUCACCUAGGCAAUGAUAGGUAGGCGGCCUUAACGGGUGGUCGCCCACACUGGGAUUGAGAUACGGCCCAGACUCCUACGGGAGGCAGCAGUCGAGAAUAGUCUACAAUGGUCGGAAGACUGAUAGUGCGACGCCGCGUGAACGAUGAAUCCCUUCGGGGUGUAAAGUUCUUUUAUAUGUGAGCAGUGCUUCUUAUAUUAACAGUAUGGGGAGAGAGAUAUUAGCAUAUGAAUAAGCAACGGCUAACUCCGUGCCCAGCAGCCGCGGU
This 502-nucleotide ribosomal RNA is filed under the name uncultured bacterium. RNAcentral's name for it is "bacterial SSU rRNA". It matches the Rfam family "Bacterial small subunit ribosomal RNA", at positions 28 to 521 of the family's 1533-position model. The record is from RNAcentral.